AGAGUUCAAGCUUUGCAAUAAGCAAUGGAUUUUUAACUCAUAGAAGUCAUUUUUUGGCGAACUCU
This 65-nucleotide transfer RNA is filed under the name Limnoperna fortunei. RNAcentral's name for it is "tRNA-Lys". Lineage: Eukaryota; Metazoa; Mollusca; Bivalvia; Mytilida; Modiolidae. The record is from RNAcentral.